Molecule: ribosomal RNA, 450 nt
Filed under: uncultured bacterium
Lineage: Bacteria
Description: partial 16S ribosomal RNA
Rfam family: Bacterial small subunit ribosomal RNA
Source: RNAcentral
AGUGAACGCUGGCGGCAGGCCUAACACAUGCAAGUCGAACGAACUCUUCGGAGUUAGUGGCGGACGGGUGAGUAACACGUGGGAACGUGCCUUUAGGUUCGGAAUAACUCAGGGAAACUUGUGCUAAUACCGAAUGUGCCCUUCGGGGGAAAGAUUUAUCGCCUUUAGAGCGGCCCGCGUCUGAUUAGCUAGUUGGUUGGGGUAAUGGCCCACCAAGGCGACGAUCAGUAGCUGGUCUGAGAGGAUGACCAGCCACAUUGGGACUGAGACACGGCCCAAACUCCUACGGGAGGCAGCAGUGGGGAAUCUUGCGCAAUGGGCGAAAGCCUGACGCAGCCAUGCCGCGUGUAUGAUGAAGGUCUUAGGAUUGUAAAAUACUUUCACCGGUGAAGAUAAUGACUGUAGCCGGAGAAGAAGCCCCGGCUAACUUCGUGCCAGCCGCCGCCGUAA